This 767-nucleotide ribosomal RNA is filed under the name uncultured organism. RNAcentral describes it as "bacterial SSU rRNA". It matches the Rfam family "Bacterial small subunit ribosomal RNA", at positions 25 to 819 of the family's 1533-position model. The record is from RNAcentral.
CAGAGUGAACGCUGGCGGCGUGCCUAACACAUGCAAGUCGAGGGGUAACAGGAGAAGCUUGCUUCUUGCUGACGACCGGCGGACGGGUGAGUAAUGCAUAGCUUACCUGCCCCAUAGACGGGAAUAGCCACUGGAAACGGUGAUUAAUACCCGAUACUCCCUACGGGGGAAAUGCUUUUGCGCUAUGGGAUGGGGCUAUGUCCUAUCAGCUUGUUGGUGAGGUAAAAGCUCACCAAGGCUAUGACGGGUAGCUGGUCUGAGAGGAUGAUCAGCCACACUGGAACUGAGACACGGUCCAGACUCCUACGGGAGGCAGCAGUGGGGAAUAUUGCGCAAUGGGGGCAACCCUGACGCAGCAACGCCGCGUGGAGGAUGACGCAUUUCGGUGUGUAAACUCCUUUUAACAAGGAAGAUAAUGACGGUACUUGUUGAAUAAGCACCGGCUAACCCCGUGCCAGCAACCGCGGUAAUACGGAGGGUGCAAGCGUUACUCGGAAUCACUGGGCGUAAAGCGCAUGUAGGCGGACUUACAAGUCAGGUGUGAAAUCCUAUGGCUCAACCAUAGAACAGCACUUGAAACUGUAAGUCUAGAGUUCGGGAGAGGCAGAUGGAAUUUCCGGUGUAGGGGUAAAAUCCGUAGAGAUCGGAAGGAAUACCUAUUGCGAAGGCGAUCUGCUGGAACGCAACUGACGCUCAGAUGCGAAAGCGUGGGUAGCAAACAGGAUUAGAUACCCUGGUAGUCCACGCCCUAAAACGAUGGAUGCUAG